CCUACGGGAGGCAGCAGUGAGGAAUAUUGGUCAAUGGCCGGAAGGCUGAACCAGCCAAGCCGCGUGAGGGAGGAAUGCGCAGAGCGUCGCAGACCUCUUUUGCCGGGGGACAAAAGGCCGGACUCGUCCGGUCCUGAGGGUACCCGGAGAAAAAGCAUCGGCUAACUCCGUGCCAGCAGCCGCGGUAAUACGGAGGAUGCGAGCGUUAUCCGGAUUUAUUGGGUUUAAAGGGUGCGCAGGGGGGCCUUUAAGCCGGUGGUGAAAUCGGGAGGCUCAACCCGGCCGGGCCGUCUGAACUGGGGGCCGUGAGUGCGGCGGAGGCAUGCGGAAUGCGCGGGGUAGCGGUGAAAUGCAUAGAUAUCGCGAAGAACCCCGAUUGCGAAGGCAGCGGGCCGUGCCGCCACUGACGUUGAGGCACGAAAGCGCGGGGAUCGAACAGGAUUAGAUACCCUUGUAGUC
Molecule: ribosomal RNA, 459 nt
Filed under: uncultured bacterium
Lineage: Bacteria
Description: partial 16S ribosomal RNA
Rfam family: Bacterial small subunit ribosomal RNA
Source: RNAcentral